CGGAGGCAGCGUAGCAAGUGGCUGCGGCAUUCAUCACAGAGAAUUAAUCAGAGCAGAUGAAGCGACAACCGAAAAAUAACGACGCGGCAUCUACUGAAAGGCUUCGCGUUAUCGCUUCAAUCGACAACGCCGGCUCUCAGUCUUCCUCUUCUACAUCGUCCACAUCUUCGACUUCGUCGUCGUCUUCUUCUUCUUCUGCGUGACCAGGCACCAGAUUCUGUACACACACACACACACACACGCAUGCACCUAUUGAUAUGCAUGUCUCAAAGCGGGUAGAGGGAAAGAGAGAGGGAGAGGGAGAGCGGCGCUUCGCAUCGAUAGCAGCGAUUGACAUUGACGUAAAUUCUCAGCCUUUUGGACUUUGUAUUUGGCCUCCGCCUCAGCCUCUGCAUCCAUCAAAAGUGCGCGCCCAGCGUGUGUCAAAUUAUAAAUUCUUCCUCUUCUCUGGCUGAUCGCAAAAAAUGUAAAUCUAAUUUCUGGCCGGGCAUAUUCAAAAUAGGUAAUGGAUUUUGCAUUUGGGCUGACAAGUACAAGCCCAUUUAAUCAAUAAUUAAGCAUAAUCCAUCAAGUACAAAGUGUCAAAUGCACUCGCGAACACUUUUUCUCCUCGUUUUUGUUGUUGUCGUCGCUCAAGCUUAAAAAGGAUUUCCAUUACGCCCCAAAAAGCCGCAUCGCUCAAAAAUCCAAAAUAGAAAAAAAUCAAGUUGUCCUUGUCAAAGCGAGAGAGAGAAAAAAAAACAUUCACUACACGAAACAAAUCCGCGCUCGUCACAUCUGCAUGUCAAACCAGCAGCCAAACAACCCUCGAGCCCAACUGUGCCCUGUGUCUGCUACAGUAGAGAUACGAUAGCAGCAACAGCAGCAGAAGCAGCAGCAGCCGGCUUAUCUAAGCUGAAAAGCCAAAGUCGUGCCCUUGCCCCCCCCACCCCAACUCCCGUUCCUGUUCCUGUUUCUGUUUCUGUGUUUGUUCCUAUUCCUGUUUUAAGAGCUGGGACACAACAAAUGUUGUUGCUCUUGCUCUGGUAAAUGAGUCAAUGGAUCUGUAACAACAAAUGUCCAUUUUUCAAUUUACCUGACCGUGUCUCGCCCUCUCGCCCUCUCGCGUCGCCCCCUCGUGUCAACCGCGCAGCCUGCAUAAAUUGAAUCUCACAGUAGAGACUCGUGAAUAAAUAAACAAAACACCCACCGAAUCGCUCUAUAAAUUAGACCCUGACCAGUGGCCGGUGACAUGGAGUGACUUCGACUCGGUUUAGCCAGCGGCCAAAUGGCCGUGAAAUUUUUCCAAUAUGCCUUGUUUCAUUAUUGCGGUACACGCUAUUUCCCUCUCCCUCUCACUCUCGCCCUCUCCUCUGGCUGCCCUCAUCUUCAGCCUCAGUUUCCCCCUCCUAUUAGUCAUUUAGCAUUACGACCAUGUCCAUUCGCUUGUAUAUCCGCCAGCACUUAUAUAUACAUAUAUAUCGAGAGAGUGAGAGAGAGAGAGAGAGCGAGAUAGAUCGAAACUGUGGAACGCACUCAUAAAUUAUGCCUUUGCACCCUGCGUGGACGAGUGCAUAAAUUUGUGCUUCGCUCCUUCCGCUAGUUUAACAUAAUUUUUAAAAGAAGCAACUGCUCCAGUUUCUCGCUUAUAACAUUUGGCCUGAUCUGAACGUCUGAACGUCUGACGUCUGUCCAGUUUAACUCUUGAGAAUUUAUCGUCCAUAAUUUGUCAUUUAUUUGCAAAGUCCAUUGUCUUGACUGAGUUAUCUUCCUGUAUGUCAAUUGAAUACUCGGGGGUAGUUAGAAGUUACUCAAGUAAGUUCGAGUACCUGAAUGUUGCUUAAGCUCUGAUGAUAAAAAUAUGAUAUGAUGUGGAUAUGAUAUGAUAUGAUGUCGGGCUAUGACGUGAACUAUAUCCACGGAAAUCCUACCCACAUAUGUGCACGAUCUUUAUAGCUCACUUGUAGAUAUGAGAAUCGCAUAGAAAGCAUUUUUUAUGGCUUGAUAUAAAUUGAUUUUAUAAUUAUGUAGUCAACUGGCAGAGAGAGAGAGAGAGAGAGAGGGAGAGAGAGAGUGAGAGAGAGCAAUCCUUGGAAUUAUGUAGAGUUUUAUAUGAAUUUAUGAGAAUCGCAUAGAAUGGUUAUACUAAUCAAUGCAAUUUGCAGAUCAUACACGUAUUAUUGGACAAGUACAUGAGGGAAUAUGUGAGAGAUAUAUAUCUAAAGCAACUUAGUUCGGCUUCUGCUUAGCGCUUCUUCAUCGUGUUUUAUUGCUAGUUAGCUAAUCAGAAAGAAAUCCAAAUGUUUGAUUAGUGAUUCAUAAGGCCAUUCAUACUUAAGGCAAAUUGGAUGUUGGCCAUUAUAAAUGAUGUCUGUGCGCUGGCUAUCGCUGGCUGUCAUCGCGAUCAUAAAGUGAUGUAUAUGUACAUAUUAACAUUUCAUUUCAACAAUUCAUUUUCAUACACUUCACGUCAUUUAUUUUCAGAGAGGAAUACUCAUUAAUGCUUUUACCAGCUAAUGUAAACAACGCACACACACCCAGACACACACACACACAUACAGUCGCACACAGAUGCAAAGAGUCGCAUGUGAAUGGAUUGAAAUUUAUGAAAGGCCAUCGCAGCAUCAAAGCCAAUUAAGAUACUGCCAUUGAAUACAUACAAGCUUUAAAGGAAUACACGACUAAUUUCUGCGACAAAGCCGACAAAAGAUCCAGUGCGAGUGAGAAAGAGAGAGGGAGAGAGAGAGUGAGAAUGAGAGUGAGGCUGGACUGGAGGUGGAUUGGGAAGUUGGGUCCACUUUUGUCGCAGCGGCACUUUUGUGAGCCGAAAGACAGGCCGUAAAAUUAAGAACUCUGAUUGUGUCUACUCGGCGCAUCAAUGAUAAAAUAUUUAAAUGAGCGAGGCACAUUUGCAGGAAACCAAAAACCAAACACCGAACACCGAAUGCCGACUGCCGACUGCCUAAAGCGGAAAGCCAGCGACCGCAGCGGCCCUAAUGGGCCUAUGUAAGCAUCUAUCUGGACAUGGACAUGGCCAACAUGGUCAAGGGGCACCAAAAGUGUGAAGGAGCCGAACGCCAAUAGCCGCCAUCCAGCUGCCCAGAUUAAAUAAGAGAAACAACGAACCGAGCCAAUAUGAAUACACGGCUAGCAUAUUAAAUUACAAUCCGAACGACUUUCCGAUUGACAAGUGGACAACGCUGGAUCGGGGCACUCGUGUGCUGAUUGUCGGCAGGACAAAGUCGUUGGCCAGGUUGAAGUCGAAGUCGAGGUCUGAUUCUUGUUCCUUGGCCUGGUCGAGACGUAUCAUAAAAGGCAUAAACAGUUGUAAAGAGCAAAACCACAAAAGGGGCGUAGAGUUAAAAAUUGAGCACUAAAACGUUAUCGAAAGCGGGACAGAUUAACUAGGCUCAGACAGACGGCGGACAGGUAGGCAGGCCAGCAGGGACAGGUAGUUGAGUUCAAUGCAUAUAUCGCAUGCAUCUUAAAGAUACUUGUACAACAUUAUGUUCAUUGCUCUGUUGUAACAGAUACUCACACACACACACACACACACAGAUCGACCUGGCACACUGCGUGUGAUCGAUCAGGCCGUGCAAUUAAAAUGAGAUCUGCCCAGUUGGCAACUGGUGCCAGCCAGGCCGAGAGCGCGGAGAGUGAGUGACCCACAGCGGCGCUAUUGUCCUGCCCGUUGUCCAUUCACAAGUGUCGUCGCGUCAGUGACAUAGUGAGACGCAGAUAAAACUAGAAAAGGACUCGCUGCAUCAUUGAUAAGGCUGCGGCUGGACCAGCGCCUGGCGCCAGCGUCGCCUAGAUCGAAUUGCCCUUCCUUCGAGGGGACAUUUUUCGGGAGUGAGAGCGAGCGACCUUCUUCAUUCAUCAGGCAGUCAAAUUUCGGGACACAGUCGAGCUCAACUUGAAUUUUUAAUGCCCUCACUGCUGCUCAUAAAAUAGAUAAAAAGUGGCACAGCACAUGUAACGGUGCCUGAGAACUAAGAGAUACCCUGUAUCAGCCAAAGGAGUCCUUCAUUCAUGAUUGCACAUGAUGUAUGGGAACUGAACGAUAUCCUUGAGCUACUAAGUUAAGUCUACUGUGUUUGUAUGUGGAUCUUUAAGAAUAUUCUUAUAAAUAUAUAUAAUGAUUAUAUAUGCUUAAGGAGCAUUUAUAUGGCUAUAGAAUAACAGUUCUAUGGUAAAAAUGUUCACCGAUUAUUCAUGAUGCAGCUAUUCGUGGUCAAAAUCAGAGAAAGUCCAAAAUACCCAAAUUUAUGUUAUAAUAAAUACAGGGUAUUCUGGUUGUUCACUUGUACAUCAACAUUUAACAUAUAUAAAAAACUGUUAAGUAGUUUUCCAUUUUUAAUUAUGUAACUAAAUAAUGUGAAGUACUGUAUGGAUGGGAAUACUCUAUUUGUGUAUAUUCAUAUUUAGCCCAUUUUCUAAUAUAAAAUUUUAUUGCUAUCAACUUGAGCUAUGUACAUAAUAUAAACAACCAUGAGUGUCCUAGUCUGUAGCAUUCUAAAACUUGCAUUGAACCACUGUAAUAAAUGUAUUUUUAAUAAUAUUCAGUGCUCAUUAAUAAAUCAAUCGAGGCUUAGAAAUAUUUCAAAAAAAGCUUAUGAAAUAAUUGUAAUAUAAUAAGAUGCCUAAAGUCCUAAAUUGUUUAGAAUAGAAUAGAACUUGUCAGUAAAUAACAGCACAGGACUUUUAAAUUAAGAGUUUUUUUUCUCUAUUGAUUCUUGUAACAUAUAGCUCAGGGAAUCAGUCUCGAUUCCAUAUAUAUCUUUCAUUUGAGGCUCAAUUAUUUCAAUAAAGUGUACUCAAGCUAUCGUAAUUACUUGAUAAUUAUCAGCAACAUUUUUAUGCCCAUACAAACAUACAUAUUUCAUUUCAAGGCUCAAGUGUUUGUAUUUAAGCUCUUCAAGUCAGUGGCACAAGGGAGGCCACGUUUCGAUAUUUCUGGAAGGCUUAAUCUUAACAUUUCUCUACCCUUAAUUGAAUUUCGUGAAACAUUUUUGCCUUUUGGCAUUGAUUUCUAUGAGGGGUUGCAACGUGGACUCAGCGCUUGGGGCACAUAAAUAACAUCACGUGUUCCAGCUUACAUAUUUAUAUCGCUGUAUUCACAAGGAGAUAUUUAUAUGUAUAUUUGUAUGUAUAUAUAUGCAUGAUCCGCAACGAAGCUGCUUAAUAUAGCCACGUUUAUGCCUAUGUUCGCUUAUCUAUGCGAAUUUAUCGAUUCGUUAGAGCGAAUAAAAUAGAUUAAGAAAUUACAUUUGUUUUUAGCUCAAUGCAAAGGGAUUAAAUUGUGUAU
Drosophila mojavensis is the source of this 5287-nucleotide long non-coding RNA. RefSeq lists it as uncharacterized. NCBI's taxonomy places the organism in Eukaryota, Metazoa, Arthropoda, Insecta, Diptera, Drosophilidae. The transcript has 3 exons. The record is from RefSeq and is a predicted model, not a curated record.